Molecule: ribosomal RNA, 465 nt
Filed under: uncultured bacterium
Lineage: Bacteria
Description: partial 16S ribosomal RNA
Rfam family: Bacterial small subunit ribosomal RNA
Source: RNAcentral
GACGAACGCUGGCGGCGUGCUUAACACAUGCAAGUCGAACGGAAAGGCCCCUUUGGGGGUACUCGAGUGGCGGACGGGUGCGUAACACGUGCGUAACCUGCCCUUGACUUCGGGAUAACUUCAGGAAACUGGGGCUAAUACCGGUAAGGAAUCCUUGCUGCAUGGGGGGGGUUGGAAAGCUUCGGCGGUUUUGGAUGGACUCGCUGGUUAUCAGCUUGUUGGUGGGGUAGUGGCUUACCAAGGCUUUGUAGGGUAGCUGGCCUGCGAGGGCGACCGGCCACAUUGGCACUGAGGGGCGGCCCAGGCUCCUACGGGAGGCAGCAGUGGGGAAUAUUGCACAAUGGGCGGAAGCCUGGUGCAGAAGCGCCGCGUGCGGGAUGACGGCCUUCGGGUGGUAAACCGCUUGCAGCAGGGGCGAAGCUUGUGGUGACGGUACCUGCAGAAGAAGCACCGGCUAACUACGUG